Molecule: long non-coding RNA, 956 nt
Organism: Neofelis nebulosa (Clouded leopard)
Lineage: Eukaryota; Metazoa; Chordata; Mammalia; Carnivora; Felidae
Exons: 3
Source: RefSeq, a predicted model, not a curated record
GCUCAUUAAGAACGAAGGCCUCCAGGCUCCAGCAGCUCUGAACCAGCAGAGCAGAGAGGCUGGAUUCCAGCGCCGACCCACUCAGCGGGGUGGCCUUGUGCCGGAGAGGUACUGCUCCAGGACAGCCCUGCUGACCCAUGGAUGGACAAGAUAUAUUUCCUCCCAAGGAGCUGACAGUCUGUGCAAUUCAACAAUGAAGGAAACCCGCAUAGUGAACCUGGAUAUAAAUGCCUGGACAUUCUACUAUCGUCGUUUCCAGGACAGGAACCCCCACCGUGUAUGAUGGAUGAGACCAGGAGAUGGCCCCCAUGUCAAACACUGGGAGCUGAAUUGCUUCAAGAUGCAAACCUCAUAGCUGAACUGUAUCAAGAGCGCCGGACUCGAUUCUCCAUGAUGCACCUACUGGCAGGAUAAUGUCAUUCAUUCUAUCCCCAGGGGUCAGCCCUCACUUAGAGCUCAUGAACUCUGGAGAUGGGUACACCACUGGCUGAUCCACCCAGCAGCAAGCCAUCCCACUGCCCUCUUCCAGAAAUCCUGUAGAGGAAGCUUCCUGUAAUGUUUAUGAUAGUGCAAAGUUCUGUGCCGGGCCCCGGAGAUAAAGAUAAGGCCAUACCUCCAAAUCCCUUUUUUCAAGAGAGCUAUCAGAAGAGAGACCAGGAAACAGGCAACAACACAAGAAAAGAGCCCCACAUGCUUUCCUACACCCAAGACAGGAAGUUGAAGUCAGGAGAGACUCAGAUAAGCAUCUCCAGGGAAGGCGGUGCUUUCCUAAAUUGUGUCUGAGAGGAGUAGAGGCUAUGCAGAAGGAAGGGUGGCAGAGAGUAUGGGCAGGAGGAAUAGGAUGUGAAAAGACUCAGAGGCAGUCCACCACUCAGCAAAGGCAAGGCAUUCCUUGCCUUGUGUAAGGCAAGGAAUCCAGCGAGGAUGAGGCUAGAGGGCUUGGCAGGGGCUGGACU